Molecule: long non-coding RNA, 251 nt
Filed under: Lathyrus oleraceus (garden pea)
Lineage: Eukaryota; Viridiplantae; Streptophyta; Magnoliopsida; Fabales; Fabaceae
Description: Pisum sativum (pea) long non-coding RNA (PSAT_LNC016388)
Source: RNAcentral
CUGAUUUUAAUUUCUUUUAUUUCUUUUAAUUCCAUUUCACUUUAAAAAAUCAUAUCUCUCUCAUUAUUGGUCCAAAAAUUAUGGGACCAAUUUCAUUCUUCUCCUUUUAAUUUCUACUUUCUACUUUUUGAAUGAUGAUAGAUCUAUGAAAAAUAUUCUCAUCAAUUUAUUAAUUGAUUUGAGAUUUAUUCGAGAUUUUAGUUCAAUUACGUUAUUUUUAUGCAUUUUUAAUUGAUUUAAAAACAGUUUCU